GUGCUCACUUCGGCAGCACAUACACUAAAAAUUGGAACAAUACAGAGAAGAUUAGCAUGCUCCUGUGCAAAGAUGACAUACAAAUCAUGACGCAUUCCAUAUUUUU
Molecule: small nuclear RNA, 106 nt
Organism: Otolemur garnettii (small-eared galago)
Lineage: Eukaryota; Metazoa; Chordata; Mammalia; Primates; Galagidae
Source: Ensembl